GCAGUUUUGUGGUCUGUUUGAAAGUGAGUUGCUGAACUUCCUGAGGUGUGAAGUGUGAACUAACUUGUAGAAUCUACGAGUUGUUUCAUUUUCCUGGUGCUGUGGCUAUUUCUUCUUGGAGUUUCAAGUAUGGUUCACCCUCGUUUCUUUAGGUAAAGUGGAAGGUGUCUUUUUCCAAUGUGGGGUUUCCCUUCUGUUCUACCAUGUCUACCGCCUGUACUGUAGUGUAGUGUAGUUCUGUUUGUGCUAUAUUAUUGUACCUGGGAUGCGCUAGACCUGCCACUGGCCGACUGGGCACUGGUGCCAGGCUGGCAGAGGUAGAGUGUUCAUACUAGUGAACAGUGUGCUGGCGUGAACCAUUCGCAGGGUGAUUGAAGUGAUGGGUGGAAGUCAAACCACAGAGAGAUGCUACAGCUACCGGUAUACCGCAGAGGACACUGCAUGCGGCCCAAAGAAGCUGAAAAAAAGAGGAAAUGCCCCCGACGGGCCUGAGACCACAAAUAUGGAAGCACAAGCAUUCGAUAAUUUUUGAUACAAUGUAGAUGGCAGGCGGGCGAAUACUGGAAAUGGAGCAGGAUCUCACUCAAAUCUCAAGCCAGUUCUGAGGAGGCUGUUGGAAUGACAUAAUUAUACAUCAGAAGCAACUUGCCCGUAAGGGAGUGGGCAGGCUUACUGUUGGUGAGCAACUCAUCACGGACACGCGCCGGUGAGGUUGCAACACAUGGAGCGUCGGCCAACCAUCCUGCUGGCGGUGGGCUUUCAGAACUGAUUUCAACCUGCUUCGAUUAACAUGAGAUGUGCAGCGACGGAACAGAGAUCUUUGCAUCCGCACUGAGCAUGAUCUGGGGUGUGCUGGACAUCGUUGGUUGCCGGACCACGUCCUGCCCUUAUUGACUACAUGGUUAGGCAUGGUAUGAUUAGCUCCUGAAUUGUGAAGGAACUGACAGCAUAACUGGCCAACCUACUUCUUUGACAACGUUAUCAGAACUACUCGCAGUACAUCACUAGUGACAGUUUACUUCCGUUUUAUUGUACUUUUCACGUAACACCCCACGAUUAAACUUUGUCAGACAGUUCUCACUACGUGCAGAAUCUCCUGUGCGAUAUCCAUGUGUGCCUACACUUCACAUUGCCUUUUCACUGAUUAUAUUGCAAAAUCAUGUCCAGGGAGAUUUGUCAGUUGCCUACAGAUAUUUUGUGCUCACAUUCCUUGCCGAAUUCCCGCAGAAUAUAGAAUUAUUUGAAAUGCCGCAACUCCUGGAAUUUACACGGUGACAGGUUGUUGUGGUGUAGGUUAUGUACUGUUGAACAGAAACAUCUCCACACAGCGAUAGGCACACAA
Sycon ciliatum is the source of this 1342-nucleotide long non-coding RNA. RefSeq lists it as uncharacterized. Lineage: Eukaryota; Metazoa; Porifera; Calcarea; Leucosolenida; Sycettidae. The transcript has 4 exons. The record is from RefSeq and is a predicted model, not a curated record.